Molecule: ribosomal RNA, 1358 nt
Filed under: uncultured bacterium
Lineage: Bacteria
Description: bacterial SSU rRNA
Rfam family: Bacterial small subunit ribosomal RNA
Source: RNAcentral
AUUGAACGCUUGCGGCAUGCCUUACACAUGCAAGUCGAACGGUAACGGGUCCUUCGGGAUGCCGACGAGUGGCGAACGGGUGAGUAAUAUAUCGGAACGUGCCCAGUAGUGGGGGAUAACUGCUCGAAAGAGCAGCUAAUACCGCAUACGACCUGAGGGUGAAAGGGGGGGAUCGCAAGACCUCUCGCUAUUGGAGCGGCCGAUAUCAGAUUAGCUAGUUGGUGGGGUAAAGGCCUACCAAGGCAACGAUCUGUAGUUGGUCUGAGAGGACGACCAGCCACACUGGGACUGAGACACGGCCCAGACUCCUACGGGAGGCAGCAGUGGGGAAUUUUGGACAAUGGGCGCAAGCCUGAUCCAGCAAUGCCGCGUGCAGGAAGAAGGCCUUCGGGUUGUAAACUGCUUUUGUCAGGGAAGAAAUCUUCUGGGCUAAUACCCCGGGAGGAUGACGGUACCUGAAGAAUAAGCACCGGCUAACUACGUGCCAGCAGCCGCGGUAGUACGUAGGGUGCGAGCGUUAAUCGGGAUUACUGGGCGUAAGCGUGCGCAGCGGCUUUUGCAGACAGAUGUGAAAUCCCCGGGGCUCAACCCUGGGAACUGCAUUUGUGACGGCAAGGGNAGAGUACGGCCAGAGGGGGAGGGAANNCCGCGGGAAGCCAGUGAAAAUGCGUAGAUAUGCGGAGGAACACCAAUUGGCGAAGGCAACCCCCCUGGGCCUGUACUGACGCUCAUGCACGAAAGCGUGGGGGAGCAAACUGGAUUAGAUACCCUGGUAGUCCACGCCUAAAACGAUGUCAACUGGUUGUUGGACGGCUUGCUGUUCAGUAACGAAGCUAACGCGUGAAGUUGACCGCCUGGGGAGAACCGCCGCAAGGUUGAAACUCAAAGGAAUUGACGGGGACCCGCACAAGCGGUGGAUGAUGUGGUUUAAUUCGAUGCAACGCGAAAAACCUUACCUACCCUUGACAUGUCAAGAAUUCUGCAGAGAUGUGGAAGUGCUCGAAAGAGAACUUGAACACAGGUGCUGCAUGGCCGUCGUCAGCUCGUGUCGUGAGAUGUUGGGUUAAGUCCCGCAACGAGCGCAACCCUUGUCAUUAGUUGCUACGCAAGAGCACUCUAAUGAGACUGCCGGUGACAAACCGGAGGAAGGUGGGGAUGACGUCAGGUCCUCAUGGCCCUUAUGGGUAGGGCUACACACGUCAUACAAUGGCCGGUACAGAGGGCUGCCAACCCGCGAGGGGGAGCCAAUCCCAGAAAACCGGUCGUAGUCCGGAUCGUAGUCUGCAACUCGACUGCGUGAAGUCGGAAUCGCUAGUAAUCGCGGAUCAGCUUGCCGCGGUGAAUACGUUCCCGGGUCU